GACGAACGCUGGCGGCGUGCUUAACACAUGCAAGUCGAACGAUGAACCCGGAGCUUGCUCCGGCGGAUUAGUGGCGAACGGGUGAGUAACACGUGAGUAACCUGCCCUUGACUCUGGGAUAACUGCGGGAAACUGUAGCUAAUACCGGAUACGACCCUCGGCGGCAUCGCAUGGGGGUGGAAAGAAUUUCGGUCAAGGAUGGACUCGCGGCCUAUCAGCUAGGUGGUUAGGUAACGGCUCACCAAGGCGACGACGGGUAGCCGGCCUGAGAGGGUGACCGGCCACACUGGGACUGAGACACGGCCCAGACUCCUACGGGAGGCAGCAGUGGGGAAUAUUGCACAAUGGGCGCAAGCCUGAUGCAGCAACGCCGCGUGAGGGAUGACGGCCUUCGGGUUGUAAACCUCUUUUAGUAGGGAAGAAGCGAAAGUGACGGUACCUGCAGAAAAAGCACCGGCUAACUACGUGCCAGCCGCCGCGGUAA
Molecule: ribosomal RNA, 484 nt
Filed under: uncultured bacterium
Lineage: Bacteria
Description: partial 16S ribosomal RNA
Rfam family: Bacterial small subunit ribosomal RNA
Source: RNAcentral